RNAcentral lists this transfer RNA (83 nucleotides) under Treponema sp. RNAcentral describes it as "tRNA-Leu". It matches the Rfam family "tRNA". Rfam says of the family: Transfer RNA (tRNA) molecules are approximately 80 nucleotides in length. Their secondary structure includes four short double-helical elements and three loops (D, anti-codon, and T loops). The record is from RNAcentral. Lineage: Bacteria; Pseudomonadati; Spirochaetota; Spirochaetia; Treponematales; Treponemataceae.
GCCGGCGUGGUGGAAUGGUAGACACUGGGGACUUAAAAUCCCCUGGCCGCAAGGCCGUUUGAGUUCGAGUCUCAUCGCCGGUA